UGGUAGGAUACAGUACAGAAGUUUGGCUAUUACUUGGGUGCAUGCAUUCUUGGCUGCUUGCAUUGGUGAUGGACCAUGGACCUUCAUAGGGGAGUGGCUUGAAGUGGCUUCCAUUAUAUACAGGGUUUACAGUUUGGUUCAAUGGCUCUCAGCACCCCCACUAUACAAAUUGUUCCAGACCCCCUGCAGACCUUCAGGGAGCACUGCAGCAGCUGGGACCACAAUGAGGAAGAUGAGGAUAUCUUUGAGGCGAGAUUGCUGGUGCACAUAGCAAAAAAAAUAAAUAAAUCCCAGAUCGCUUGUGACAUUCAUGGAGCAGCUGCAGAUUGUGGAGCAUUUCUUCUGGGCCUAAGAAACCAGCACUGACUGAUGCGAUCACACAUAAUGCAGAUUUGGGACAAUGAGCAGUGGCUGCAGUACUUUCGGAUGCAAAAGGCCACAUUCCUGGAUCUGUGCCAUGCUCACCCCAGCCCUCCAGUGCAGGGACAGAAUGAGAGCUCAUUGACAGUGGAGAAGUAGUGGUGAUCGUGUUCUGGAAGCGUAAAGCACUGGAUUGCGAUUGGUCAGUGGGAAAUCAUUUUGAAGUUAGAAAAUCCACAAUGGGGGCCAUUGUCAUCCAAGUGUGUAAGGCCAUUGAAUGCUGUGCAGGACUGUAACUCCCAGCAAUAUGCAAGAAAUGGUGGAUGGAUUUGCAAAAAUGGGGUUCCCAUCUGUGGUGGGGGAAUAGACAGAAUACACAUCCCUAUCUUGGUGCCAGCCACCUUGAUACAGAAUACAUUGACAGAAAGGCCUAUUUUUCUAUAGUUCUGCAAGUGCUAUUGUAUCCCUGGAGAUGCUUCACUGAUAUCAAUGAAGGUUGGUAUGGGAAGGUGCAUGAUGCUUACAUCUUUAAGAUCACAGAAUUGUUCAGAAAGCUGCAGGCAGGGACAUUCUUUCCUGGGUGGUUGAUUAACAUUGGUGAUGUGGAAAUGGUGACAGUGGUGCUGGAGGUCCAGCUGACCCCUUGAUCCCCUGAUGCAUGAAGCUGUACAUUGCCCACCUUGAUGGCACCAAGGAAAGAUUCUACUACUGGCUCAGUAGGUGCGGAAUGACGGUUGAAUGAGCUUUGGUAGAUUGUAGGGUCACUCACUGGAUUAGAUCUCAGGGAGAAAAACAUCCCAAUGGUUAUAGCUGCCUGUUGUGUACUGCAUAAUAUAUGUGAGGCAAAGGGGGGAAAGCUACCACCAGGGUGGAGGGGCAAGGUUGACCACCUUUCUGCUAAAUUUGAAUAUCCAAACACCAAGGCUAUUAGAGGAGCCCAACCUGGAGCUCUGUUUGAGGGAAGCUUUAAAAGUUCGUUUUCAGUCAGCCACAGUAGCGUUCUCUCUUGCUGUCUUGAGACUGUGUCUGUCUUGCAUAAUUUAAACCAGGUAUUUUUUGGUUCUUGACUGCUGGUAUCUAUUCUGUUGUGCUUGCUGCAGAUUAUAAAUACUGCUGGGCCUGGGGCUUUGCAUGCCACUAUGAAUUGUGUGAUGCUUGCUGUUCAUGUAUAAACAUGGCUGGGUCCUGGGUGUUUUCCUGGUGGUAUUGCUUUGCGACUGUGGUGCUUGGUGUCUGUUUGAGAAUUGUUUCAUUUCUUGGCUUCUUCUGUGCAUUCUGAUAAGGAUACUUUGAGUCUCCAAAAAUACAACUUUGUUGAGUGCAAAAAUUCAGUGCACAAAAUCAAAAUGAAAACAAACACAUAACUUAAUGGGUUGAAACUUUUUAAAUCUCCAAUUGAAAAGGAAGCAAACAUUUUUGUCCAUUUGUGUAAACAGAAAGGUAGUUCAGUGCAGGUCGCUGUGGCUACACAUACACCAAUAUGGUUUUCACAGGUCAGAGUCUGUGAAAUUGUGGUUUCCCUUGUUAUCCUGUGGCGUGGAGUAGUAGGGGUGAAAAAGAUGCAGUCCAUGCUGCCAUAUGGUAUGUUGGGGGUGUAGGCAGGGCUGGAUUAACUCCCCUUUGGGCCCCGUAUACAAGUCUUUUUUUGCUGGGAGGAAGUUUGG
Malaclemys terrapin pileata is the source of this 2024-nucleotide long non-coding RNA. RefSeq lists it as uncharacterized. The record is from RefSeq and is a predicted model, not a curated record. The transcript is spliced from 2 exons. Lineage: Eukaryota; Metazoa; Chordata; Testudines; Emydidae.